RNAcentral lists this long non-coding RNA (422 nucleotides) under Mytilus galloprovincialis (Mediterranean mussel). The record is from RNAcentral. Lineage: Eukaryota; Metazoa; Mollusca; Bivalvia; Mytilida; Mytilidae.
AACGGCCGAACCUAAGAAAAAAUACACCACAAAUUACCUUACGAUCGAGUUUUGAACCCCCGUAUCCCCUAAUUACAGGUAUAUCCUAUAUAUCCUAAGAAAGGUAAUAGAAGGGGGAACAAAACCUAUAUAGUGAAUAUGUGGCACAGAUGCGAUUUAAGGGGUAACAAGUGACCGAAAAGCGAAAACGGCCGAACCUAAGAAAAAAAUACACCACAAAUUACCUUACGAUCGAGUUUUGAACCCCCGUAUCCCCUAAUUACAGGUAUAUCCUAUAUAUCCUAAGAAAGGUAAUAGAAGGGGGAACAAAACCUAUAUAGUGAAUAUGUGGCACAGAUGCGAUUUAAGGGGUAACAAGUGACCGAAAAGCGAAAACGGCCGAACCUAAGAAAAAAUACACCACAAAUUACCUUACGAUCGAG